GAUUCCUACGGGGGGCAGCAGUGGGGAAUAUUGCACAAUGGGGGAAACCCUGAUGCAGCGACGCCGCGUGAGUGAAGAAGUAUUUCGGUAUGUAAAGCUCUAUCAGCAGGGAAGAAGAAAGACGGUACCUGACUAAGAAGCCCCGGCUAACUACGUGCCAGCAGCCGCGGUAAUACGUAGGGGGCAAGCGUUAUCCGGAUUUACUGGGUGUAAAGGGUGCGUAGGCGGAAGGUUAAGUCAGCGGUCAAAUGUCGGUGCUCAACACCGGCCUGCCGUUGAAACUGGUCUUCUUGAGUGAGCGAGAA
RNAcentral lists this ribosomal RNA (305 nucleotides) under uncultured bacterium. RNAcentral's name for it is "bacterial SSU rRNA". It matches the Rfam family "Bacterial small subunit ribosomal RNA", at positions 334 to 656 of the family's 1533-position model. The record is from RNAcentral.